Molecule: long non-coding RNA, 3266 nt
Organism: Bombus terrestris (buff-tailed bumblebee)
Lineage: Eukaryota; Metazoa; Arthropoda; Insecta; Hymenoptera; Apidae
Exons: 2
Source: RefSeq, a predicted model, not a curated record
UAAACCAUUUAUGUUUCAUACAACAUGCAUUUGUUGAUCAUACGAGAAAGAAAUAAUUUUGACCAUUAAUUUUUCAUUGAUUCGUAUAUUUUAGUAACGUUUGUGUAUUCUUAAUACAAAUUUUCCAAAAUGUUGUACAUGUUCAGGAGCGGCAGUGUACUUGCUCUUUUCGACAAAUUUUCAAAAAAUAUUGUUACUAACACAUAACAACCAUUGACACCACCGAGAACAGUAUCGAUCGAUCAUGGCAAUCACGCACGGUUUGCAAAUAUCGACGAAAGCAAUGACAGAUAUUAGUUGAAUUAAAGAAAAGAGUAGUAAGCUGAAUUGGAUCGAAGCUGGUGCUGUUGAGACACCUGGGUUAAGCGUUAAAAGUUUACAGAUCUUGGACGUAGAAAAUGAAACGAGCGCGGGAUCUAAUUUUCAAAAAACCUCUGCUAACUAUGUUGGCACGAGAACGUAGAAAUCCGUAUAAUAAAAACCACGAUAUAAAUAACGCUGCUUAUGUCAGAUUCCACGCAACAGAUGGCUAAGCUCCUUACUCUAGUUAGAUGUGAUUAAUAGUUUCACGGUGUUGGAUAUUUUAUUUAAUCUUGAUAUUGUAUACAACAUGGCAGUAAUAAUAGCGCAUUAGAGAUUAAUUCACGUACUUACUUGCAUCGAUGUACUUACCUCAGCAACACGCAUAUCAUUCGCUAGACUAAUGUCCAUAAUGUUAGAUUUUAUCGCGUAACUAAUUACUAAUUACCGAGGAGUAUUAUUACGUAAAUAAAAUUAUGGAAUAACAAAUCAGAAUUUACAAAUAACGAAGUCUUCGAUCGAUGUGAUCAACAUCUUUAACGACGUGUAUACGUAACUUAUGUUCAAGGAUAAACAUCAAGUAAAUAAGUAUAGUGCCUGAUGUGGAAUUAUAAAUGGCUAUUUAACCUCGUCGCAUGUCAGUGUAUUAUUAAAAUGAUACAGUGACGUCGCACCGAUAUGCAAAUCAAAUACCAAAAUCAAUACGCGAUAUUCGAACCAAUGAAAAAGAGAAUCUUAUAUGUCCAUGGUAGUUAUAUGGCACAUAAUACCAUAAUAAUAAAAACACACUUAAACAUGGUCUUGGAAGAUCGAUGGUUCGCUACGUAUGGUUCAAUCCAUUUGACCAGAUCACUCACAGGACGUAAAUCAUUCAGACAUUUAUCUCCGGAGAUAUUUACAGUCAAUAAAUUACGAAACACGUAUCGAUGGUACUGAAUAUCUUCAAGUGCAAAUAACAUAAGCGUGCAGAAAUAUACGUACGUACAAACGUGAACCUUAGUAUACAAGAUAUCAACUUUAAACGUUAUUAAAGAAGCAUUUCGUUAAUAUCUGUUUCAAAAUUGAAAAUCGAUCGUAAAGAGAUACACGACAAUUACAGGUUGGCUGGACACUUUUGGCAGCUGUAAAUCUUCUACUAAUGAAACUGGCACGAACAUACCGUAAUAAUUAUGCCACGUGUCGAUGCAUGUACUCGGUGUAGCGAGGAAUCAAUAUACCAAGGUCGUAAAUUACAGUGUCAAGUGACGAUAUUAGAGAGUCGCGUAGAAGCCUUUUGAAUCUUGGGCUGCGAAAGCCCCUCGUAGAAACUCGAUAGUCUUCGUUCAAAGAAGCUUCUACUGGGAUAGACUUGGUCGAAGUUUAAACAAUGGCCAUUAACCUCGAUUUAAUUGAUUUAGUCUGGUAUUGUUGAUUAGUUAACAAUCAACCGUAGAGCGUAGAAUGUUUCUCGUUGGCCUGACGCAUGAGCCAGACACGCACGUGCGUCGAUAGUCAUACGACGAAAAUUGGUGCAAUUUACAUGAGACGUAGGAUGUUGCACGCUCAGGCUAUCAUUCGGAAGACCGCAAAAGCGAAUUGGAACGUUUCUUUUCUCAGAAGACUGUGCGAUUCUACACCGAUGGAACAACCAAGUUACCGCAAAGGUGGCGAAAAGUCAUCGGAAGGAACGCAGCGCAGAUUGAAAACAACGCGCGUGAAGGAGAAAACGCAUGCUUCAGCGGGGCCGUAAAAACGGAACGAGCUUUCCCUAUGAUAUUUAACGCUAUAGUUCGUGCAACUAGUCGAGUCGGUAGAGGUAAAUAAAAGAUUCGCCUGCUAGGCACGUGAUAGAUGUAAAGAAUUCGAGGUUCGGUUCAAAAGCGAAUUUACAUUGGCUAUUGUUAGAGCUUGCUUUCACUUUAUGACAAAGUAUCUGAAGAUUGUGAAUACGCUCCCAAUCACGUGCGUUUGUUUAACCUCUAGCGACUCGACUCGUUGCAUGGAGUAUAGAACUUGCAAUCUUUGACAUAAAGGCUGAGUCAGAACACGCGAAGACUACGCCAGGAGCUGAUUCAGCACGCUAAAGUAAGAAGAAGGAUCGUAUAAACACAUGCUCGAUAUGGCCUCUUCUUCGAGUUACAGCUUAUUUCGUGACGCUAGACGCUGCUUAGAUCAACGAUUCCCUGGCAAAUGAAUAGAUCGCGCUGCCCUUAUUUCCUCGCCAGCUCUCCGGACCAGAAUCCAUUCGAUUGUUAUUUACAGCGGCAUUUAAGAUCUGUUCUUCAUAAAACGUAAAAGUGUCGCAACGUGACGACCAAAGUUUCCGGACAAUUAGUAGAAGCUGUGCAAACAAGUUGAACGAUCUACGACGCGAUAGAUUCACGGUUCUGUAGAACCUGCUGAACCUGGUCACUUGGAACAAUUUCUCUGAAGAAUCAACGCAUUGAGGACCAAGCGGUGAAAUAACGUAUAAAAGUUACGUAAAUGGAAUUGUAUCAAACGUAAGUAACGUCAGUCAGAAAUUAAAGGCAAAGGAAGAAGUUCUAUAAUUUGAAGAAACGAAUAGUUCGUUGCUAUAAGAUACGUCAUCGCUAUGAAGUAUUUCGAUUUCUUCAAACUUCAUAAAAUAGUAGAAUUUAUGUCGAAGGAAGAAUGUCGGUGAAAAGAAUACUAAGUAAGUCCUUGCGCUUCCUUCUCAUAAUCAUAAUAUCAAUUUAAUAAAAAUCAGCAACGUGAAUUGUCUGAAAAGAAAUUGCAAACGAAAUAUUGCGUUAACGUAAGCAACAUAAACAACGAAUAGGUAUAAAGAAGAGAAGACAAAUGAAUAAAUAUAUUGAAGUUUCCGUCUCGCUAAAAGUAAGCAUUGCUGUUACCAAAAACAGUCGCACGUUUUCUCUAAUUGCGGAAACAAGAAGUUUAGUACCAGUCAUUUUUAAUGAUUUCGUACUCCUUGCGUUAAGUAAUUAAAUACCAAAUAUUGAAAAUAA